CCGAGUUUUUAAAGCUCUCUAUUCCUGAUGUGAAUUUAUAAAACUUGUUGUGCUUCGGCAGUUGCCUUAAAAUUUUUUUUUUUUUAAAAAAAAAAAAAAAAAGAGGAGAGAACAUAUGCCGAAGGAAAUUUAAAUGCUGUCAUGUUAAAUUUCAAAACGUAUAUUAAAAAUAUAAAAACUUUUAGCAACGGAUCUCUUGGCUCUAGCAUCGAUGAAGAACGCAGCGAAAUGCGAUAAGUAAUGCGAAUUGCAGAAUCUAGUGAGUCAUCGAAUCUUUGAACGCAUAUUGCGCCUACUAGCUAUUCUAGUAGGCAUGCCUAUUUGAGCGUCAUUAUAAGCAUUUAUACUCUGUAUAGUGUUGGAGAAUAGCGGAAAUAGCUAUCUCUAAAAUAUAGAAGCAAGCUCUCUUCUUUAUCCCUUGCAAAAGUAAUAAUAUAGGUUGCAAGGGGAGAAAGAAGAAGGAGAGUCUUUUCUUUUUAAA
Molecule: unclassified non-coding RNA, 481 nt
Filed under: Ophiocordyceps nutans
Lineage: Eukaryota; Fungi; Ascomycota; Sordariomycetes; Hypocreales; Ophiocordycipitaceae
Description: contains ITS1, 5.8S rRNA and ITS2
Rfam family: 5.8S ribosomal RNA (bases 177-331)
Source: RNAcentral